GACGAACGCUGGCGGCGUGCUUAACACAUGCAAGUCGAACGGAAAGGCCUCUUUCGGGGGGUACUCGAGUGGCGAACGGGUGGAGUAACACGUGAGUAACCUGCCCUUGACUUUGGGAUAACUUUCAGGAAACUGGGCUAAUACCGGAUAGGAGCUCCUGCUGCAUGGUGGGGGUUGGGAAAGUUUCGGCGGUUGGGGAUGGACUCGCGGCUUAUCAGCUUGUUGGUGGGGUAGUGGCUUACCAAGGCUUUGACGGGUAGCCGGCCUGAGAGGGUGACCGGCCACAUUGGGACUGAGAUACGGCCCAGACUCCUACGGGAGGCAGCAGUGGGGAAUAUUGCACAAUGGGUGGAAGCCUGAUGCAGCAACGCCGUGUGCGGGAUGACGGCCUUCGGUUGUAAACCGACUUCGUCUCAUGACGAAGAC
Molecule: ribosomal RNA, 426 nt
Filed under: uncultured bacterium
Lineage: Bacteria
Description: bacterial SSU rRNA
Rfam family: Bacterial small subunit ribosomal RNA
Source: RNAcentral